ACUCACCUCGCGCCCGCGGCAGCCGCUGCCACCCCCCACGCCCCGAAGCGCCGCCGCCGCCGCUUCCGGCCGCCGCGCCUGCGCCACUUCCGGCCGAAGGGGGGGGCUGUGCGGAAGUGAGAGACGAGCAUAGAGACGGGGGAGCGGGCGCGGUCCUCCCGCCGCCGCCUCCGCACCAUAGAGACGGGCCGGGGGGAGUCCCAGAGAGAACCCACAGAGCCCCAUAGGCGCCUUCGCAGGGACUCCAAAGACCUUACAGACCCCCAUAAGGACCCUGUGGUGCCCCAGUCCCCUGUGGAGACCCAUGAGGACCCCCGUAGGUCCCUAUAGACCCCUGUGAGGACCCUGCAGAGCCCCCUGUAGAUUCCCAUUAGAGCUUGGAUGGUGAGCAUCUGGGUCCCCUAUAUGGCCUGGAUCCCUCACUGGUCUCUGUAGAUACUGGCUGCCAUAUACAUUCCGAUGAAGAGCCACACAGGUUUGAGUUCCCCUAUGGAGCCCUACGGGGAGAACCUGGUCCUCCUAUGAACCUGCGUUGGGGCCUUCCCCCUACCAGUAUCCCCCUAUAGGGCCUGGAUCCCCUAUGGACCUCCUUAGGGCACAGAUGGUUGGGAGAUCCCCAUAGGGAUCCCCACGGGUCCUGGACCCUCUGUGUAGACCUGUGUUGAUCCAUGCUGACUCAUGUUGGUGCAGUGCUGAUCUAUUUUGACCCGUGUUUGUUGACCCAUCAUCCUGAGGCACGUUGAUCUGUGUUUGAUCUGUGUUGGCUCCUGUGUUGCAGUUGAUCCCUGUUGAUCGGCUUUCACCAAUGUUGCUCUUUGUUAACCCAUAUUAAUCUGUGUUAACCCAUGUAGGUCCAUGUUGACCUGUGUCAACCCACGUUGGUCCAUGUUGUCUCCUGCAGUUGAUCCCUGUUGUCCUGCUUUCACCUAUGUUGCUCCUCAUUGACCUAUAUUGAUCUAUGUUGACCCGUGUCACUCUGCUGCUCCAUUUGGACCUGCACGGGCCUGUGUUGACUGAUGUCAAUCUGUGCCGACCCACGUCAACCCAUGUUGGUCCCCGUUGACCCAUGUUGAUCUGUGCUGACCUGUGUUGAGCUGUGUCACCCCCAUUUGACCCGCACUAAACAAAUGACCAGGUGCACCAAUGUCUGAAUGCUUGGGUGCACCACGGAGAUGCUUGGGUGCUCCAUGAAGAUGCUUGAGCAACCCAUGGAGAUGCCUUGUUGCUCCAUGGAGAUGCUUGGGUGCUCCGAGGAGGUGUUUGAGGAGCCCUUGGGUGAUGCUUGGGUGCUCCAAGAGGUACUUGGGUACCCCAAAAACAUGCUUGGUGGUCCAAGGAGAUGGAUAUGUACCCAGGGAAAUGCUCAGUUCCACAAAGAGAUUCUUGGGUGCUCCAGGGAGGUUCUCAGGUGCCCUUGGAGAUCCUUUUGUCCCUGUUCUACGCUUGGGUGCCCACUUCUAUGCUUGGAUGCCCCAGAAAGAUGCUUUGGGUGCUCAGGGAGGUGCCCAUGCCCCUGGGGCGAGGGCUGGACCUGAUGCCACACGGGGCAGAACUGAUGUCCCUGUCCACCUGUGUCCCCUGGGGGGUGGGCGGGCACUGGGUAGAGCCUGGGGGGGGGGGAGCCCAAGGGGAGGUGGGAGGUUCCUUGUGUCCUCCUAUGCCCGCGGCGUGGGUGGCACCGGCAGUGCCACACUUGGCACCGCAGGGACGUAACAAAGUGAGGAGAUACCGGGGUGGUAUCUGUCAACCCCCUCCUCAACCCUAAGGACUCCUAUGGGGUGGGGGGGGGUUGUGCUAUUAUUGUAGUGUCUCCCCAGCUUCUGUGUCGUUGAACCCCCACCAGUUUGGGUCGUGAUGGAUGAGGGACCCCUCAAGCUGGCACAGGCCAAGCACCGGCGGGACCUGGAGGCGGAGCUUCGUGACCUCAGCAACCAGGUGGCAGCGCUGGGGCGGAGCCUGGCGCACGAGAGGGGGCGGAGCUUGGCAGAGGGCGGGGCCUUGAGAGCCCUCGAGAUCGCGGUGGGCGGAGCCAAAGCCCGAGUGGGCGGAGCCUUCCGGGCCCGGGAUCGAGCAUGGGAGCGGCUGAGGCAGCAGCAGGAGGCGGGGCGCGUGUUGUGGGCGGAGCUAGAGGCAGCACGCGCGGCGCGGGAAAGGGCGGAGCUCCGGGCGCAGGAGGCGGAGUCACAGUGCCGGGACAAGGAGGCGGAGCUGGAGCGACUGCGGCAGGGAGGGCCGCGAUCCUGUGGGGCUGCAGGCGGCGCUGGCAGAACUGAGGGAGCACAACCGGGAGCUGCGGCAGCGCCUGCACCAGCGGCACGAGGAGGCGCAGGAGCUGCAGCGGGCGCUGAUGGGCGCACAGGCACGAGCCCGGGCAGCGGCGGAGGCACGGGCACAGCUGGAGCGGGAGCAGCGGGGGCUGCAGGGGCGGCUGCAGCACCCUGGGGUGCCCCCGCACCCGGCUGAGGCCACCCUGCGUGCCCGCUGCUUCCACCUGCAGGAGCUGCUGCAGCGCGAGGCGGGGGCACGGGCGGCACUGGCGCGGGCAUCGCGGGCAGCAGGACGGCGGCUGCGGGUGCUGCUGGCGGAGGUGGAGGAGCAGCGGCUGCGGGGGGAGCGCUACCGCCUGCAG
Numida meleagris (helmeted guineafowl) is the source of this 2629-nucleotide RNA transcript. It is a transcript of the gene named myosin-11-like, with no coding region annotated. NCBI's taxonomy places the organism in Eukaryota, Metazoa, Chordata, Aves, Galliformes, Numididae. The record is from RefSeq and is a predicted model, not a curated record. The transcript has 7 exons.